RNAcentral lists this ribosomal RNA (278 nucleotides) under uncultured Staphylococcus sp. RNAcentral's name for it is "partial 16S ribosomal RNA". It matches the Rfam family "Bacterial small subunit ribosomal RNA", at positions 83 to 355 of the family's 1533-position model. Lineage: Bacteria; Bacillati; Bacillota; Bacilli; Caryophanales; Staphylococcaceae. The record is from RNAcentral.
CCUUUGACGUUAGCGGCGGACGGGUGAGUAACACGUGGGUAACCUACCUAUAAGACUGGGAUAACUUCGGGAAACCGGAGCUAAUACCGGAUAAUAUUUCGAACCGCAUGGUUCGAUAGUGAAAGAUGGUUUUGCUAUCACUUAUAGAUGGACCCGCGCCGUAUUAGCUAGUUGGUAAGGUAACGGCUUACCAAGGCGACGAUACGUAGCCGACCUGAGAGGGUGAUGGCCACACUGGAACUGAGACACGGUCCAGACUCCUACGGGAGGCAGCAGCC